This 656-nucleotide ribosomal RNA is filed under the name uncultured Cytophaga sp. Its description in RNAcentral is "bacterial SSU rRNA". It matches the Rfam family "Bacterial small subunit ribosomal RNA", at positions 31 to 692 of the family's 1533-position model. The record is from RNAcentral. Lineage: Bacteria; Pseudomonadati; Bacteroidota; Cytophagia; Cytophagales; Cytophagaceae.
GAACGCCAGCGGCAGGCCUAACACAUGCAAGUCGAGGGAGGAGCUUUCGGGCUUCGACCGGCGUACGGGUGCGUAACGCGUAUACAAUCUGCCUUUCACAUAGGGAUAGCCCGAAGAAAUUUGGAUUAAUACCUAAUGGUAUAUAGGGAUGGCAUCAUUUUUAUAUUAAAGCUGAGGCGGUGAAAGAUGAGUAUGCGUUCUAUUAGCUAGUUGGAGAGGUAACGGCUCCCCAAGGCUACGAUAGAUAGGGGUUCUGAGAGGGAUAUCCCCCACACUGGUACUGAGAUACGGACCAGACUCCUACGGGAGGCAGCAGUGAGGAAUAUUGGACAAUGGUCGGAAGACUGAUCCAGCCAUGCCGCGUGCAGGAAGACGGCCUUAUGGGUUGUAAACUGCUUUUGCAGGGGAAGAAUAAGGACUACGUGUAGUUUGAUGACGGUACUCUGCGAAUAAGCAUCAGCUAACUCCGUGCCAGCAGCCGCGGUAAUACGGAGGAUGCGAGCGUUAUCCGGAAUCAUUGGGUUUAAAGGGUCCGUAGGCGGGCUAAUAAGUCAGAGGCGAAAGCGCUCAGCUCAACUGAGCAACUGCCUUUGAAACUGUUAGUCUUGAAUGAUUGUGAAGUAGUUGGAAUGUGUAGUGUAACGGUGAAAUGCUUA